CCAGACUCCUACGGGAGGCAGCAGUGGGGAAUAUUGCACAAUGGGGGGAACCCUGAUGCAGCGACGCCGCGUGGGUGAAGGAGUACUUCGGUACGUAAAGCCCUAUCAGCAGGAAAGAAAAUGACGGUACCUGACUAAGAAGCCCCGGCUAACUACGUGCCAGCAGCCGCGGUAAUACGUAGGGGGCAAGCGUUAUCCGGAUUUACUGGGUGUAAAGGGAGCGUAGACGGCAGUGCAAGUCCGGAGUGAAAGCCCGGGGCUCAACCCUGGGACUGCUCUGGAAACUGUAAAGCUGGAGUGCGGGAGGGGCAGGCGGAAUUCCUGGUGUAGCGGUGAAAUGCGUAGAUAUCAGGAGGAACACCGGCGGCGAAGGCGGCCUGCUGGACCGUAACUGACGUUGAGGCUCGAAAGCGUGGGGAGCAAACAGGAUUAGAUACCCCAGUA
This 444-nucleotide ribosomal RNA is filed under the name uncultured bacterium. RNAcentral describes it as "bacterial SSU rRNA". It matches the Rfam family "Bacterial small subunit ribosomal RNA", at positions 331 to 792 of the family's 1533-position model. The record is from RNAcentral.